UACGGAGGAUGCGAGCGUUAUCCGGAUUUAUUGGGUUUAAAGGGUGCGUAGGCGGAGUGUCAAGUCAGCGGUAAAAUUUCGGGGCUCAACCUCGUCGUGCCGUUGAAACUGACACCCUUGAGUGGGCGAGAAGUAUGCGGAAUGCGUGGUGUAGCGGUGAAAUGCAUAGAUAUCACGCAGAACCCCGAUUGCGAAGGCAGCCUUCCGGCGCCCUACUGACGCUGAGGCACGAAAGUGCGGGGAUCGAACAGG
Molecule: ribosomal RNA, 252 nt
Filed under: uncultured Bacteroidales bacterium
Lineage: Bacteria; Pseudomonadati; Bacteroidota; Bacteroidia; Bacteroidales
Description: partial 16S ribosomal RNA
Rfam family: Bacterial small subunit ribosomal RNA
Source: RNAcentral